This is a long non-coding RNA of Centruroides sculpturatus (bark scorpion), 274 nucleotides long. RefSeq lists it as uncharacterized. The record is from RefSeq and is a predicted model, not a curated record. The transcript has 3 exons. NCBI's taxonomy places the organism in Eukaryota, Metazoa, Arthropoda, Arachnida, Scorpiones, Buthidae.
AGUAUAUUGAACCCAUCAGAGGUUACGCUAAAAAACGAACGAGAGAGGGGAUUUCCCAAAAAUUCCCGAAGAAAAAUGUCUAAUGUCAUCACUAUACAUUGAGCCCAAUUUAAAUUUGCCCGGGUACAAGAAGAUAUAACGUGCUAUUGUCUGAAAAAGGAGAAUUUAUACGAGCAAGAAAAACUAAAUAAUGUUCUAAGUAUAAAAGUCUCAUUCGAAAUACUUGAACAAACGGACAGACAAGAGACGUUAAAAAAGCUGUUUAAUAAUGAGA